AAACUAAUUUAAUUUGGCGGCAUUUCAUCUAAUUAGAGGAAUUUGUUUAUUAAUCGAUAAUCCACGUUAAUUUUCACUUUAACCUAAAAUUUAUAUACCGCCAUUUUAAGAAUCAAUUUAAAAAUUUCUUUCUCAAUAAAUCAUAAAAAAUUAGGUCAAGGUGUAAUCUAUAUUAAAGAAUAAAAUGAAUUACAUUAAAUAGUAUUUAAAGAUUAUUUAUAAAUAUAUCAAUAUAAAUAAGAAUUUAAAAGUAAUACAAUAAUAAUAUUAUUAUAUGAUAAAAACAAUAAAUGUGCACACAUCGCCC
Molecule: ribosomal RNA, 307 nt
Filed under: Pireneitega huochengensis
Lineage: Eukaryota; Metazoa; Arthropoda; Arachnida; Araneae; Agelenidae
Description: partial 12S ribosomal RNA
Source: RNAcentral